RNAcentral lists this ribosomal RNA (660 nucleotides) under bacterium LB-102. RNAcentral describes it as "bacterial SSU rRNA". It matches the Rfam family "Bacterial small subunit ribosomal RNA", at positions 780 to 1439 of the family's 1533-position model. The record is from RNAcentral.
UGAUACCCUGGUAGUCCACGCUGUAAACGAUGUCGACUUGGAGGUUGUGCCCUUGAGGCGUGGCUUCCGGAGCUAACGCGUUAAGUCGACCGCCUGGGGAGUACGGCCGCAAGGUUAAAACUCAAAUGAAUUGACGGGGGCCCGCACAAGCGGUGGAGCAUGUGGUUUAAUUCGAUGCAACGCGAAGAACCUUACCUACUCUUGACAUCCACAGAACUUUCCAGAGAUGGAUUGGUGCCUUCGGGAACUGUGAGACAGGUGCUGCAUGGCUGUCGUCAGCUCGUGUUGUGAAAUGUUGGGUUAAGUCCCGCAACGAGCGCAACCCUUAUCCUUUGUUGCCAGCGCGUAAUGGCGGGAACUCAAAGGAGACUGCCGGUGAUAAACCGGAGGAAGGUGGGGAUGACGUCAAGUCAUCAUGGCCCUUACGAGUAGGGCUACACACGUGCUACAAUGGCAUAUACAAAGAGAAGCGAACUCGCGAGAGCAAGCGGACCUCAUAAAGUAUGUCGUAGUCCGGAUCGGAGUCUGCAACUCGACUCCGUGAAGUCGGAAUCGCUAGUAAUCGUAGAUCAGAAUGCUACGGUGAAUACGUUCCCGGGCCUUGUACACACCGCCCGUCACACCAUGGGAGUGGGUUGCAAAAGAAGUAGGUAGCUUAAC